UAGGCGGGGCUUUACCUAGCAGAGACUUGUAGAUGACCUGGAGCCAGUGGGUUUGGUGACGAGUAUGAAGCGAGGGCCAGACAACGACAGUGAACAGGUCACAGUGGUGGGUAGUAUAUGAGACUUUGGUGACAAAACGGAUGGCACUGUGAUAGACUGCAUCCAGUCUAAUGAGUAGAGUGUUGGAGGCUAUUUUAUAGAUGACAUCGCCGAAGUCGAGGAUCUUUAGGAUGGUCAGUUUUACGAGGGCAUGUUUGGCAGCAUGAGUGAGUCAUUACAUUGCACAGGAUCACAGAGUAGAAUGAUGGAUUAUGGGAUGUCAUUUAUGUCACGCCUCUCAGUUGUUGACGUUGUUUCCUCUUACAGAAAAGGGAUUGGUACCAGAGAGACCGUAAAUGCGACCGUCCAGCUCCAGUCAUUUCUGCUAACAAGCCUAAGAAGCCACUUCGUAAGCAUCUCCACCCCAUGGCACGUCCUGCCCCUGACCCCAACCUGAGCACACAACUAUCCCUACUCGACCCCCGAAGGAACCUUCUUUUGUUGCUGAUGAUUAUGUUGACAUUCUUGGUCCUGACCAUAACCUUACCAUGACCACCAUGGCCCAAUCUGUCACUUUCACAUACUUCCUUUGAAGUGAGGUGAUAUUUCAACCUUAGUCCUAACCUUACAGUAUCUUGACCCCAGAGGUCAAGCAUCAGAAAUCACUCUCCACUUUGUGUGUGUGUGUGUGUGUGUGUGUGUGGGGUAUGUGUGUGUGUGUGUGUGUGUGGGUGGGUGGGUUGGUUGGUUCUUCUACCCUUGAGGGGACCUAAAAUCCCCAAAAAGUCCUCACAAGGAUAGUAAAACAAGGACAAUUUCACCUUGUGGGAACAUUUCCCGCAUCCCCAUGAGAACAAAGGCUAUUUUAAGCUUAGGGGUUAGGUUUAAGGUUGGGGUUAGAAUUAGGGUUAGAAUUAGGUUAGGGUGAAGGUUAGGGUUACAGAAGGCUCUGAGGGGUGACCAGUCCUCUUCUGGCUGUGCCAGGUGGAGAUUAUAAGAGUACAUGGCCAUUAAGGCCAAAUUGUUCUUCAAGAUGUUCAAACGUUCAUAGAUGACCAGCAGGGUCAACAAAUAAUACCAGUGGUUAUAGAGGGAGCAACAGGUCAGUACCUCAGGAGUAAAUGUCAGGUGGAUUUUCAUAGCCGAGCAUUCAGAGGUCGAGAGGCGUGGUAGAGUGAGAGCGAAAGAGAGAGAGAGAGAGAGAGAGACUACUGUAUGCUUAUUGUUAUUGUUGAAUGUAUGGUUAUUUUGACCCUUGGUUAUUGUUGUUACUGUUAUCCCGUUGACAAUUUUGAUUCUCAUUUUUAUUUAUUUUUAUAUUGUAAAUAUCCAAAAUAAUCUUUGGCAAUAUGUACAUUGUGACGUCAUCCCAAUACAGCGAAUUAAAUUGAAUUGAGAGAGAGAGAGAGAGAGAGAGAGCUGUUGCUCCUCAGGAGCUACAACCUAGGCUGCUGUUUUCUCCCGGCCUUAUUCUUUAAAAUUCCUGCUGGCG
Long non-coding RNA from Oncorhynchus tshawytscha (Chinook salmon), 1531 nucleotides. The record is from Ensembl. NCBI's taxonomy places the organism in Eukaryota, Metazoa, Chordata, Actinopteri, Salmoniformes, Salmonidae.